RNAcentral lists this ribosomal RNA (229 nucleotides) under uncultured bacterium. RNAcentral's name for it is "partial 16S ribosomal RNA". It matches the Rfam family "Bacterial small subunit ribosomal RNA", at positions 568 to 796 of the family's 1533-position model. The record is from RNAcentral.
AGUGUAGGCGGCUAUUUAAGUCGGAUGUGAAAGCCCCGGGCUCAACCUGGGAAUUGCAUUCGAAACUGGGUAGCUAGAGUUUGGUAGAGGUAAGUGGAAUUCCAGGUGUAGCGGUGAAAUGCGUAGAUAUCUGGAGGAACAUCAGUGGCGAAGGCGGCUUACUGGACCAAAACUGACGCUGAGGCUCGAAAGCGUGGGGAGCAAACAGGAUUAGAUACCCUGGUAGUCC